UAAGAAAAGGUGGAACUCAAGAGAUCUGGCUUGGAAAUCUAACUCGUUGUGUAAUAAAAUAACCCUGCUUUAAGCAAAAUUCGACACUUUCCUGAUGCAUUAGGGACCUAAUUGAAAACAUUGAUAGUUUGGGAUCUAAUCGAAGAUCAGUUCAUAGUCGGUUACUAAAUUGAGAUUUUCUAUGAAACUAUAAAGGGGAGAUUAUUUGUCCGUUUAGUGUCGUGCCCAGUUCGAGCAACAGGGGAUUCUGAACUGAGAGGUUCGUUUGCCCUUUCUUUUUGUUGGGUUUCGGAUGAAAUUCCUGUUUUUUUUUUAGUCGUUUUUAUACUCUUUUCAGUUUUUUAUAUUUAUAAUCUUAGAUUAUGUUUCUUUUCUUUAAAUUUUUACUCUUUUUUAUCUAGUUUCUAUUCUUUUAAAUUUGAUCUAUAAGGGAUAAAUCAUUGAAUUGAGUGGUAUUUUUGCUUUUUAGAUAUAGAAGAGGAAGAAGAUGGAAGCAGAGUUGAUAAAUGCAGAGCUGGUGUUGCCAACACACUUCAGUUUCAAGAGGAUACAGAUAUAUGAGAAAUACCCAAAGGGACAACCAAGAGGCCGUUGGAAACACCU
RNAcentral lists this long non-coding RNA (603 nucleotides) under Populus tremula. Its description in RNAcentral is "long non-coding RNA (PTRE_LNC003493)". Lineage: Eukaryota; Viridiplantae; Streptophyta; Magnoliopsida; Malpighiales; Salicaceae. The record is from RNAcentral.